This 373-nucleotide ribosomal RNA is filed under the name Ixodes nuttalli. RNAcentral describes it as "partial 16S ribosomal RNA". The record is from RNAcentral. Lineage: Eukaryota; Metazoa; Arthropoda; Arachnida; Ixodida; Ixodidae.
UUUAAAUUGCUGUGGUAUUUUGACUAUACGAAGGUAUUGAAAUAAGGUUUUAAAUGGGCGCUAAGAGAAUGAUUUAACAAUUAGAAUCUUUCUUUAAUUUAAAAAUUGAAUUUAAUUUUUUUGUGAAGAAGCAAACAUUUUUAUUAGGGACAAGAAGACCCUAUGAAUUUUAUAUUUAUUGUACAUUAUUUAAUGUUUAAAUAAAUUUAAUUGGGGCGAUAUAAAAAGAAUAUAUAUCUUUAUUUUUUUAAAAAAAAGUUCCGUUAUUAACGAUUAAAUGAAAAAAAUACUCUAGGGAUAACAGCGUAAUAAUUUUGGAAAGUUCAUAUUGAUAAAAUAGUUUGCGACCUCGAUGUUGGAUUAGGAUUCUUUU